AUGUGCGAGGCGUUCCGCGCCAGCGCAUUCUCCAGGCGGUGGCGGAACCCCCCCCGCCGGCUCUCGCUCCUGCACCUCGACGUCCGCCAGUUCGGCCGAGACACUUCGACGGUCGACCUCGGGGCAAUGCCUCCGGCGGUCGAGACCAUGCUGGCGUUCACGGGACUGAUGUCUUCGGCUGUCGAGGCCAUGCAGGCUGUCGAGGCCAUGCAGGCGUUCACGGGAGCGCUGCUCAGAUCACUGUCUGCGUCUCCUCCUCCGGUGACCCUCAGCCUCUGCUUCUUCCCUGUGACGAACCUGACCUCCAUAGGCCGCGCCGUCGAGGACGUUAUCACCCGCGGCGAGACUAAGUAUCUUGAAUUUCACAUCCGCACGCCAUACGGUCAUGGUCGGCUGGCGAGGCACGAGUUCAUGUCCUUCUCCCGUGCCUGCCCAGUUGCCUUCCGGUGGCUCACGAUGCUUACAUUCGACAAUAUUGCGUUUGAUGAUUCCGACAUCCCCGACCUCAUUAGCGCUUGCGAUAGGCUCAGACACCUCACUCUGAGCUCCUGCAGACUGGUUGAAUUUUACUCUCCGCUCGAGAUCCACACGCCAUGCUCCAGACUCCAAAAGCUCUUCUUCAUAGACUUUGAUUGCAGAUGGAUCGCGUUGAUGACUUUACCCAGACUUACAGAACUGCGGUGUGUUGGAAAUAACCACGAUGUGUGUGUCCAACUGAUCGUGGUUAUUUCCAACACGGUGCCAAUCUUGGCGCUCCGAAAACCCUCGGCCGGUGCGGUUCGGCCAGGUUCCGGAGCUUCGCCGUGUGUCCCUCAUUUCUCGUGCGACGCCCUGUCAUGCGCCACUCGCACUCGGAUUUGGAUUCAGAUGGAACAUCCGAAGCAGCUCACUGCUAAAUUCAGAAACCUGACCAAUGUGGAGCUUUUUGGUAUCUUUCCUAAGUAUGAUCUGAGCUGGACCAUAUUUUUCCUUGAAGCUGCACCUGCCCUGCAAAAUUUCAGAUUGUCUCGAGAAGGGCAUUUGUGUACCGACUAUGCCAUCAAGACCAAUGUGGUGUGGAAGCCAUCCAAGAACUUUAAGCACCUGAACUUGAAGUUGCUCCGGAUGUCCGGGUUCGAGGACGAAGACAAGGUGACAAAUUACAUAAGGCUAGUCAUGAAGCGAACUGUGUGGUUGAAGAGAAUCGAGCUGCAUGGUGAAAACCCAUGCAAUAAAUGCGAUGCCAUUGACCCGACGUCGAGGAGACCCCACGUGGAUGAAGCUCGCAGGCGUCGGAUUAAGGAGAAACUCACACAUAAGUCAUCCUCAUCCGUGGAGAUAAUAAUAUGUUGA
This 1332-nucleotide ribosomal RNA is filed under the name Triticum aestivum (bread wheat). Its description in RNAcentral is "partial small subunit ribosomal RNA". Lineage: Eukaryota; Viridiplantae; Streptophyta; Magnoliopsida; Poales; Poaceae. The record is from RNAcentral.